This 434-nucleotide ribosomal RNA is filed under the name uncultured bacterium. RNAcentral's name for it is "partial 16S ribosomal RNA". It matches the Rfam family "Bacterial small subunit ribosomal RNA", at positions 29 to 507 of the family's 1533-position model. The record is from RNAcentral.
AGCGAACGCUGGCGGCAGGCCUAACACAUGCAAGUCGAACGAACCUUUCGGGGUUAGUGGCGGACGGGUGAGUAACACGUGGGAACGUGCCUUUAGGUUCGGAAUAACUCAGGGAAACUCGUGCUAAUACCGAAUGUGCCCUUCGGGGGAAAGAUUUAUCGCCUUUAGAGCGGCCCGCGUCUGUUUAGCUAGUUGGUUGAGGUAAUGGCUCACCAAGGCGACGAUCAGUAGCUGGUCUGAGAGGAUGAUCAGCCACAUUGGGACUGAGACACGGCCCAAACUCCUACGGGAGGCAGCAAUGGGGAAUCUUGCGCUAUGGGCGAAAGCCUGACGCAGCCAUGCCGCGUGAAUGAUGAAGGUCUUAGGAUUGUAAAAUUCUUUCGCCGGGGACGAUGAUGACGGUACCCGGAGAAGAAGCCCCGGCUAACUUCGUG